This 90-nucleotide microRNA precursor is filed under the name Nannospalax galili (Upper Galilee mountains blind mole rat). Its description in RNAcentral is "microRNA 505 (ENSNGAG00000003636.1)". It matches the Rfam family "mir-505 microRNA precursor family". The record is from RNAcentral. Lineage: Eukaryota; Metazoa; Chordata; Mammalia; Rodentia; Spalacidae.
AAAUUGAUGUACCCAGUGGGGGAGCCAGGAAGUAUUGAUGUUUCUGCCAGUUUAGCGUCAACACUUGCUGGUUUCCUCUCUGGAGCAUCA